Bombyx mori (domestic silkworm) is the source of this 596-nucleotide long non-coding RNA. RefSeq lists it as uncharacterized. The transcript has 2 exons. Lineage: Eukaryota; Metazoa; Arthropoda; Insecta; Lepidoptera; Bombycidae. The record is from RefSeq and is a predicted model, not a curated record.
GAUCGCAAGCUUCGAUCAAUAAUACUACUAGAUUCGCGAUUAGCGCUUCAAAAACGGCCCGAAAAAUAAGACCACAAAUAAAUUUGUGGUCUUAUUUCAAAUUAGUAUGGUCCAAUCAUAGCCAACACUAAGACGUCAAAACGCUGCAAUGCGCGUUCAAAAACUGAGUAAAAAACCACCGUAACACCAAGGUUUUGGAAGGAAUAUCUUUUUUUGAUUUCCUAGUAGCCCCUUGUCGCUGUGCACAAUGGAUAUAUAUUGUCGUGAAAGAAAGAGGAGAAGAAAUAUAGAACUCUUAUAAAAAUUCUAGAAUUGUUCAAUGGUGGUGGCAAAUCAAUGCAAAAAAGUAUUAAAAAAACUUUAUAUGUAUGUGUAAAUAUUUUAAGCGUAUAUGCUGAAAAGGAUUUGUUUUCUGGGGGAAACGAACACAGCCAUAAAAUAAGCCUAAAUUAAACUGAUUAUAGAAAAAUUCAUUGAUAUAAGAUUACAUUAUAUUUGUAAAAAAGAAACCGCUCAUAUAAAAAUGACUUCUAAAAGACAGCUUUAUAACAAACUGAAUCUGUUUAAAGAUAAUUAAACCUACAUUAUUGUUUUAA